AUGAUGCAGAAGAUGUCCAUCCAACCGCACAUUGAUCUCUGCAGCGUGGUCGGUGGGAGGAGAUGUGGCCGAGCUGUUGAACCAGGCUCUAUCGGUGUCAGGACGCGUUGGUGGAGGAGGGGGACUGAUGGAGGAGAGCCGACGGAGCCAUGGUGGACGAGAGCCGACGGAGCCAUGGUGGACGAGAGCCAAGGGAGCCAUGGUGGACGAGAGCCGACGGAGCCAUGGUGGACGAGAGCCGACGGAGCCAUGGUGGACGAGAGCCGACGGAGCCAUGGUGGACGAGAGCUGACGGAGCCGACGGCGCCGUGGUGGGCGAGAGCCGACGGCGCCGUGGUGGACGAGAGCCGACGGAGGAGCCGUGGUGGACGAGAGCCGACGGAGGAGCCGUGGUGGACGAGAGCCGACGGAGGAGCCGUGGUGGACGAGAGCCGACGGAGGAGCCGUGGUGGACGAGAGCCGGCGGAGGAGCCGUGGUGGACGAGAGCCGACGGAGGAGCCGUGGUGGACGAGAGCCGACGGAGGAGCCGUGGUGGACGAGAGCCGACGGAGGAGCCGUGGUGGACGAGAGCCGACGGAGGAGCCGUGGUGGAGGCCCUGCCUUAAGAAUGAUGUCGGGGUGAAUGCAGCCAGUCUCUAAAUUGAUUAUCACUCACUGCUACUGAACGGUUUCUGUUCUAAAAUCGGUUACUUCAGCCGUCAUCUAAUAUGCCAGAUUUAGAGAAAACCGUCCUUGGCUUAAUGGAGCCAUCGGUGAAGUUUUAUUGAGACUCUAACCCCUCAAUGUGAAGGCUAGAGUAGUCUACGCUACUGGUACAAGAAUUCUACAAGUUUUAUCGUUUGUUUUAAAUAUUGAGUUUCAGCUGAGGCAGAAGACUGUUUGAAUAAUGUUAACAGUCAAAUUUCAAAUGUGUGCUGUUGAAUUCACAGAAUGUUCUACCAUUCUCCUGCAUAACACAUUUUCAAGUGUGUGCAUGGUUCUUAUUUAUUUUUUUAACUUGCAGUGUCUUCUAUUCCUCUACAUUUUACACCAAAAGCCAGUACUUUGGUUCAGAAUGGUUUAAAAGAGGCGUCCGAAGAAUAAUCCCACCCACUGCCAACUACCAGCCCUGUUUGUUACAGACCCAAUGCCCUUGGCUGAUGGAGGAACUGCAUCUGGAGGGCGACCAUGAAUCUACCUGCCAACAGGUGGUACUGGUUUGCACUGGUUUGCAUGAACUGAACAUGGUGGACAUGAGGCAAAUUCCCUGCUUUUUGCUCCAGACCAGGACUGGGUGAUGGAGGGGGGCUGAUAGAGCCGUGCUGAGGACCUGCUGGUGAAGGACGUCCCUCGGUGGGGGGGCUAGGACAGCCGACCCUGAGGUGAUUAUACCUUACACUGCCACCUCAAUGUGAAGGAGUAGGCUGCUAGACUAGCCACUCCACCAGCCCUACAUCGGUCUCUUCAACCAUCGUUUUGAUCAGAAUGAUUUAGAGAAAAAAGUCCCUGGGUUAAUGGAGCUGUGAGUGAACAGGAUUUAUUCACUCACAAUUUUGCUCUCCAUGGCCCUCAUUUAUCAAACGAGCGUACGACAGAAAACGUGCGUAAAAUGGACGUACGCUCAUUUCAACGUUGAGCUUGGCAUUUAUCAAUUUGAACGUGAGCGCAGGCU
RNAcentral lists this long non-coding RNA (1652 nucleotides) under Gadus morhua (Atlantic cod). Its description in RNAcentral is "lncRNA (ENSGMOG00000036167.1)". The record is from RNAcentral. Lineage: Eukaryota; Metazoa; Chordata; Actinopteri; Gadiformes; Gadidae.